Molecule: ribosomal RNA, 773 nt
Filed under: uncultured Neocallimastigales
Lineage: Eukaryota; Fungi; Neocallimastigomycota; Neocallimastigomycetes; Neocallimastigales
Description: partial large subunit ribosomal RNA
Rfam family: Eukaryotic large subunit ribosomal RNA
Source: RNAcentral
UAUGUGAUCGUCUCUCGCAUAUCAAUAAGCGGAGGAAAAGAAACUAACAAGGAUUCCCCUAGUAACGGCGAGUGAAGCGGGAAGAGCUCAAAUUUGAAAUCUUAAAGGGUUUCCCUUUACGAAUUGUAGUUUAAAGAAGUGUUUUCUGUUGAGGUGUUGGUAAAAGUUCUUUGGAAUAGGACAUCAUAGAGGGUGAGAAUCCCGUAUUUGACCUUUACUUUCAACUUUGUGAUACACUUUCAAAGAGUCGGAUUGUUUGGGAAUGCAGUCCAAAAUGGGUGGUAAAUUUCAUCUAAAGCUAAAUAUUGGCGAGAGACCGAUAGCGAACAAGUACCGUGAGGGAAAGAUGAAAAGAACUUUGAAAAGAGAGUUAAACAGUACGUGAAAUUGUCAAAAGGGAAGCGUUUGACACCAGUGUUGUUUUUCUGAAAAUCAAUUAAAGAACUGUUUAUGCUAAGCUGUUUAGACUUUAUCAGCUAUCUGUUUAGUUUUGAGCUUUUCUUUAAUGCACUUUUCAGUUAACAAGUCAACAUCAAUUUCUUUUGCUGUAAAAAAGCUUGAGGAAGGUGGCUUGAGAUUCGUCUUAAGUGUUUAUAGCCUCUUGCCUAUGCAGUCGGAGAGAUUGAGGUCUGCAGCGUAGAUCCUUCGGGGCUAAAUGCAUUUGUGCUAAGUUAUAGCAUUUUAUAGACAACUUGUUGACUAUGAUUUGUCUUGUAGCUUACUCGCUUAUGUUAUUUUACCUACGCUUAGGAUGUUGAAGACUCUACAGAGAU